AUUGAACGCUGGCGGCAGGCCUAACACAUGCAAGUCGAACGGAAACAUGUCUAGCUUGCUAGAUGAUGUCGAGUGGCGGACGGGUGAGUAAUACUUAGGAACAUGCCUUUGGGUGGGGGAUAACUAUUGGAAACGAUAGCUAAUACCGCAUAACGUCUACGGACCAAAGGGGGGAGCUUGCUCCUCUCGCCCAAAGAGUGGCCUAAGCGAGAUUAGCUUGUUGGUGGGGUAAAGGCUCACCAAGG
RNAcentral lists this ribosomal RNA (245 nucleotides) under uncultured Glaciecola sp. RNAcentral describes it as "partial 16S ribosomal RNA". It matches the Rfam family "Bacterial small subunit ribosomal RNA", at positions 30 to 273 of the family's 1533-position model. Lineage: Bacteria; Pseudomonadati; Pseudomonadota; Gammaproteobacteria; Alteromonadales; Alteromonadaceae. The record is from RNAcentral.